CGCGUAGGCUGUGCUGUAAGUCAGGCGUGAAAGGCCCGGGCUCAACCUGGGAACUGCGCAUGAUACUGCGGCGCUUGAGGGCGGGAGAGGAUGGCGGAAUUCCCAGUGUAGAGGUGAAAUUCGUAGAUAUUGGGAAGAACACCGGUGGCGAAGGCGGCCAUCUGGCCCGCAAUUGACGCUGAGGCGCGAAAGCGUGGGGAGCAAACAGGAUUAGAUACCCUGGUAGUCCACGCCGUAAACGAUGAGUGCUAGACGUCGGGGAGCUUGCUCUUCGGUGUCGCCGCUAACGCAUUAAGCACUCCGCCUGGGGAGUACGGUCGCAAGAUUAAA
RNAcentral lists this ribosomal RNA (330 nucleotides) under uncultured bacterium. Its description in RNAcentral is "bacterial SSU rRNA". It matches the Rfam family "Bacterial small subunit ribosomal RNA", at positions 568 to 898 of the family's 1533-position model. The record is from RNAcentral.